Molecule: ribosomal RNA, 443 nt
Filed under: uncultured Leptolinea sp.
Lineage: Bacteria; Bacillati; Chloroflexota; Anaerolineae; Anaerolineales; Anaerolineaceae
Description: bacterial SSU rRNA
Rfam family: Bacterial small subunit ribosomal RNA
Source: RNAcentral
GCACAAGCAGCGGAGCGUGUGGUUUAAUUCGAUGCUACACGAAGAACCUUACCAGGGUUUGACAUGCAAGUGGUAGGAACCGAAAGGCGACCGACCUUCGGGGAGCUUGCACAGGUGCUGCAUGGCUGUCGUCAGCUCGUGUCGUGAGAUGUUCGGUUAGGUCCGCUAACGAGCGCAACCCUCGCUGUGUGUUACAAGUGUCACACGGUACUGCCGGUCUUAAGCCGGAGGAAGGUGGGAUGACGUCAAGUCAGCAUGGCCUUUAUGUCCUGGGCUACACACACGCUACAAUGGCCGGUACAAUAGGUUGCGAAGCCGCGAGGCGGAGCCAAUCCUCAAAGCCGGCCUCAGUUCAGAUUGCAGGCUGCAACCCGCCUGCAUGAAGAUGGAGUUGCUAGUAACCGCAGGUCAGCUAUACUGCGGUGAAUACGUUCCCGGGGCUU